Hippocampus zosterae (dwarf seahorse) is the source of this 407-nucleotide long non-coding RNA. RefSeq lists it as uncharacterized. The record is from RefSeq and is a predicted model, not a curated record. The transcript has 2 exons. NCBI's taxonomy places the organism in Eukaryota, Metazoa, Chordata, Actinopteri, Syngnathiformes, Syngnathidae.
UAUGUAGACAUGCAGACAAACGAACGUCAGGGACUCAAAUAAUGGGAAUAAUAUUAGUUGUUUUUUUUUUUCAGAGAGGAUAAAGAACACAAUACUGUGAGUACUGUGAUAGUCUAUAUGUGUUGCACCACCGUUCAUUUAAAUACGAGUCGCUGAAAAACCUCACAAAAACAUUUAGCCUCUCCUGAGCAUUUUCCAUUAGAUGCUAGCAUCAAGUUGUUUUGCUUGACUAUAUUACAUACACAAAGUGUUAUUCUUUUAGUUUUAUGUUUAGUUUGACAAUCAGCGUCAACUGAAAUUGGUAUUAAAUACCGUCAAGCAACGUUCACGUUCGUUCAACUAACUGCUGCCUUUUGUGGGGUGAGUCGAAUUGAGUUCAUUGGCAUCAUACAGCACUUUUAUCACAA